GAUGAAGAACGUAGCGAAAUGCGAUAAGUAAUGUGAAUUGCAGAAUUCAGUGAAUCAUCGAAUCUUUGAACGCACAUUGCGCCCGCCAGUAUUCUGGCGGCCAUGCCUGUUCGAGCGUCAUUUCAACCAUCAAGCCCCCGGCUUGUGUUGGGGACCUGCGGCUGCCGCAGGCCCUGAAAACCAGUGGCGGGCUCGCUAGUCACUCCGAGCGUAGUAAUACAUCUCGCUCAGGGCGUGCUGCGGGUUCCGGCCGUUAAAAAGCCUUAUUUACCCAAGGUUGACCUCGGAUCAGGUAGGAAGACCCGCUGAACUUAAGCAUAUCAAUAAGCGGAGGA
This 335-nucleotide unclassified non-coding RNA is filed under the name soil metagenome. RNAcentral describes it as "partial contains 5.8S ribosomal RNA, internal transcribed spacer 2, and large subunit ribosomal RNA". The stretch from base 1 to 120 matches the Rfam family "5.8S ribosomal RNA", at positions 35 to 154 of the family's 154-position model. The record is from RNAcentral.